This is a non-coding RNA of Paramuricea clavata, 393 nucleotides long. The record is from the annotation of a GenBank genome assembly. Lineage: Eukaryota; Metazoa; Cnidaria; Anthozoa; Malacalcyonacea; Plexauridae.
CUCGCAUUGAUGACAGUUCCUCAUUGAAUUGAAGCGAUUCAUCCUGUAAUAAAUAUUCGAUAAAUAAAUAAUAAAUAAAAUAAAGCCUAUAACGUCUCAAUCGCGAAAACGAAGCUCCAUAGGCAUAGCCAAGGUCACGUAUACUUUCCGGAAUGGUGUACUAUAUAUACGCAAUUAAUUAUGUUCACAUCGUAUCAUCGUAUCAGUGAAAAAUGCAGCUUGCCUGCAGUCCUUUCACGUCUGCAGUAAAAAGUAACAUGUCGGUAAAGUAAUAACCAGGGACGCCGGAACGAUAAUAGGGCAAAGGGGGGCGGACGCACACCAAGGGCACCUCUAUAGAGCAAAACUUCAAAAUCUACCGGAAAUAUUUUUUUUCAAUGGAAAUUUUUGGGC